GUGAGUAUAACUCAGUGGUAGAACAUGUACUUAGCAUGCAUAAGGUCCUGGGUUCAAUCCCCAGUACCUACA
Transfer RNA from Camelus ferus (Wild Bactrian camel), 72 nucleotides. It matches the Rfam family "tRNA". Rfam says of the family: Transfer RNA (tRNA) molecules are approximately 80 nucleotides in length. Their secondary structure includes four short double-helical elements and three loops (D, anti-codon, and T loops). Lineage: Eukaryota; Metazoa; Chordata; Mammalia; Artiodactyla; Camelidae. The record is from Rfam.